RNAcentral lists this long non-coding RNA (414 nucleotides) under Rattus norvegicus (Norway rat). Its description in RNAcentral is "long non-coding RNA NONRATT032612". Lineage: Eukaryota; Metazoa; Chordata; Mammalia; Rodentia; Muridae. The record is from RNAcentral.
AGAAACAUGAACGCAAUGUACAUACCAUUCCAACUGUGCUGUCUCCAAAUCGACUACGAUCUACGAAGAAAAGUUUCUUUGGUCAACCUCUUACAAGUAUUUUUGAAGGGAAUAAGCUGCCUACCCCAAUAAUUGAUAUGAUGUCUAUAAUUGCAGAAAAAGGACAAAGUUCUGAUCAUUUAUUCAAAACUAUAUCUGAAAAUUCACAGUGUUCCCUGAGGGACAAGAUUGACACAGAAAUAUGUAUUAAGUGGAAUGAAGAAUGUGUGUUGGUUGUAGCUUCAGUCUUAAAGGACUUUAUUUCAAAUAUAGAAGGAAGCCUCCUGACUUCCAGUUUAUAUGAAAAUUGGCUCACCAUCCCAGAUGAACGAACCCUGGCUGGAAAAAUUAGUGCUAUUCAAAGGUAAUGAUACA